AAGAUGGCGACCGGCGCACGGGUGAGUAACACGUAUCCAACCUGCCGAUAACUCUGGAAUAGCCUUUCGAAAGAAAGAUUAAUACCGGAUGGCAUACGAAUAUCGCAUGAUAUUUUUAUUAAAGAAUUUCGGUUAUCGAUGGGGAUGCGUUCCAUUAGUUUGUUGGCGGGGUAACGGCCCACCAAGACACGAUGGAUAGGGGUUCUGAGAGGAAGGUCCCCCACAUGGAACUGAGACACGGUCCAA
RNAcentral lists this ribosomal RNA (246 nucleotides) under uncultured bacterium. RNAcentral's name for it is "partial 16S ribosomal RNA". It matches the Rfam family "Bacterial small subunit ribosomal RNA", at positions 85 to 334 of the family's 1533-position model. The record is from RNAcentral.